RNAcentral lists this transfer RNA (88 nucleotides) under Candidatus Amesiibacteriota bacterium. Its description in RNAcentral is "Candidatus Amesbacteria bacterium (hot springs metagenome) tRNA-Ser". It matches the Rfam family "tRNA". Rfam says of the family: Transfer RNA (tRNA) molecules are approximately 80 nucleotides in length. Their secondary structure includes four short double-helical elements and three loops (D, anti-codon, and T loops). Further hydrogen bonds mediate the characteristic L-shaped molecular structure. tRNAs have two regions of fundamental functional importance: the anti-codon, which is responsible for specific mRNA codon recognition, and the 3' end, to which the tRNAs corresponding amino acid is attached (by aminoacyl-tRNA synthetases). tRNAs cope with the degeneracy of the genetic code in two manners: having more than one tRNA (with a specific anti-codon) for a particular amino acid; and 'wobble' base-pairing, i.e. permitting non-standard base-pairing at the 3rd anti-codon position. The record is from RNAcentral. Lineage: Bacteria; Candidatus Amesiibacteriota.
GGAGGAUAUCCCGAACGGUUGAGGGAACGGUUUGCUAAACCGUGGCCGAGUGAUCGGUCGGUGGGUUCGACUCCCACAUCCUCCGCAA